Molecule: ribosomal RNA, 641 nt
Filed under: Kribbella sp. I13A-01618
Lineage: Bacteria; Bacillati; Actinomycetota; Actinomycetes; Propionibacteriales; Kribbellaceae
Description: bacterial SSU rRNA
Rfam family: Bacterial small subunit ribosomal RNA
Source: RNAcentral
CGGCGAACGGGUGAGUAACACGUGAGCAACCUACCCUCAACUUUGGGAUAAGCCUCGGAAACGGGGUCUAAUACCGGAUAUGACUGCGGACUUCAUGGUUUGUGGUUGAAAGUUCUGGCGGUUGGGGAUGGGCUCGCGGCCUAUCAGCUUGUUGGUGGGGUAAUGGCCUACCAAGGCUUCGACGGGUAGCCGGCCUGAGAGGGCGACCGGCCACACUGGGACUGAGACACGGCCCAGACUCCUACGGGAGGCAGCAGUGGGGAAUAUUGCGCAAUGGACGAAAGUCUGACGCAGCAACGCCGCGUGAGGGAUGACGGCCUUCGGGUUGUAAACCUCUUUCAGCAGGGACGAAGCGAGAGUGACGGUACCUGCAGAAGAAGGACCGGCCAACUACGUGCCAGCAGCCGCGGUAAUACGUAGGGUCCGAGCGUUGUCCGGAAUUAUUGGGCGUAAAGGGCUCGUAGGCGGUUCGUCACGUCGGGAGUGAAAACUCGGAGCUUAACUCCGAGCCUGCUUCCGAUACGGGCAGACUAGAGGUAGGCAGGGGAGAGCGGAACUCCUGGUGUAGCGGUGGAAUGCGCAGAUAUCAGGAAGAACACCGGUGGCGAAGGCGGCUCUCUGGGCCUUACCUGACGCUGAGG